RNAcentral lists this transfer RNA (74 nucleotides) under Fidelibacterota bacterium. RNAcentral describes it as "tRNA-Arg". It matches the Rfam family "tRNA". Rfam says of the family: Transfer RNA (tRNA) molecules are approximately 80 nucleotides in length. The record is from RNAcentral. Lineage: Bacteria; Pseudomonadati; Fidelibacterota.
GCACCCGUGGCUCAAUUGGAUAGAGUUCCUGACUACGAAUCAGGCGGUUACAGGUUCGAAUCCUGUCGGGUGUA